RNAcentral lists this ribosomal RNA (403 nucleotides) under uncultured bacterium. RNAcentral describes it as "partial 16S ribosomal RNA". It matches the Rfam family "Bacterial small subunit ribosomal RNA", at positions 30 to 526 of the family's 1533-position model. The record is from RNAcentral.
AUUGAACGCUGGCGGCAGGCCUAACACAUGCAAGUCGAGCGAGAGGGGGACGGGUGAGAAAUGUAUGGGGGAUGCCCGAGAGAGGGGGGGAAAUCCUGGAAACGGUGGAUAAUACAGCAUACUGUCGGAUAACCCAUAUGGGAGUAGCUAGUAGGUAAGGUAAUGGCUUACCUAGGCGACGAUCCCUAGCUGGUCUGUGAGGAUGAUCAGCCACACUGGGACUGAGACACGGCCCAGACUCCUACGGAGGCAGCAGUGGGGAAUAUUGCACAAUGGGCGCAAGCCUGAUGCAGCCAUGCCGCGUGUAUGAAGAAGGCCCUAGGGUUGUAAAGUACUUUCAGUCGGGAGGCGUUACCGACAGAAGAAGCACCGGCUAACUCCGUGCCAGCCGCCGCGGUAAUAC